GACGAACGCUGGCGGCGUGCUUAACACAUGCAAGUCGAACGGAAAGGCCCUGCUUUUGUGGGGUUCUCGAGUGGCGAACGGGUGAGUAACACGUGAGUAACCUGCCCUUGACUUUGGGAUAACUUCAGGAAACUGGGGCUAAUACCGGAUAGGAGCUCCUGCUGCAUGGUGGGGGUUGGAAAGUUUCGGCGGUUGGGGAUGGACUCGCGGCUUAUCAGCUUGUUGGUGGGGGAGUGGCUUACCAAGGCUUUGACGGGUAGCCGGCCUGAGAGGGUGACCGGCGACAUUGGGACUGAGAUACGGACCAGACUGCUACGGGAGGCAGCAGUGGGGAAUAUUGCACAAUGGGCGGAAGCCUGAUGCAGCAACGCCGCGUGCGGGAUGACGGCCUUCGGGUUGUAAACCGCUUUCGCCUGUGACGAAGCGUGAGUGACGGUAAUGGGUAAAGAAGCACCGGCUAACUACGUG
RNAcentral lists this ribosomal RNA (468 nucleotides) under uncultured bacterium. Its description in RNAcentral is "partial 16S ribosomal RNA". It matches the Rfam family "Bacterial small subunit ribosomal RNA", at positions 28 to 507 of the family's 1533-position model. The record is from RNAcentral.